RNAcentral lists this ribosomal RNA (981 nucleotides) under Candidatus Woesearchaeota archaeon. Its description in RNAcentral is "partial 23S ribosomal RNA". It matches the Rfam family "Archaeal large subunit ribosomal RNA", at positions 2033 to 2987 of the family's 2987-position model. The record is from RNAcentral. Lineage: Archaea; Nanobdellati; Candidatus Woesearchaeota.
UGAGCGAAAUACCUUGUCGUUUGAUUGACGACGCGCAUGAAGGGCGUAACGAGAUCUCCACUGUCCCGAGACGGACUCCACUGAAUACACUCCUUCGGUGCAAAGGCCGAAGAUUUCCAGUGGGAAGCGAAGACCCCGUGAAACUUUACUGCAGCCUGUUGCUGUAACGCAAGCUUUAUUGCAAAGCGUAGCUAGGAGUUGCUAAGCUUGGACUUUCGGGUUCAAGAUAGACGACAAUGUCACACUAGCCUAUAGAGCUUACGUUGCUAACCUGUUUACAGGGACAACAAUUGGUGGGCAGUUUGGCUGGGGUGGCACCCUGUCGAAAAGGUAUCGACAGGGCCCAAUGGUUGACUCAACCGGUUUAGAAAUCCGGUGUAGAGUGCAAGAGCAAAAGUCAGCCUGACUGAGAUCACAAUAAUACUGGUCUCAGAAACGAAAGUUGGGUCUAGCGAACCUCUAUGCCUCCUUAAUGGGGGCUAGGGAUGACUGAAAAGUUACUCCGGGGAUAACAGAGUUGUCGCGCCCGAGAGUUCAUACUGUGAAGUGGGAAACUAACUUUACAAGAACAUAUCGACGGCGCGGCUUGCUACAUCGAUGUCGGCUCUUCCUAUCCUGGCCGUGCAGAAGCGGCCAAGGGUGGGGGUGUUCACCCAUUAAAAGGGAUCGCGAGCUGGGUUCACAACGCUGUGAGGCAGUUGGUUUGAUAUCUACUGGAAAUGUUUAGUGUCUGAGAGGAAGGAAGUCAUAGUACGAGAGGAACUGACUUUCGACACCUCUGGUCGAGCGGUUAUCUGAUAAGGUAUGCCGCGCAGCUACGUGUUGAGGGAUAAAUGCUGAAAGCAUCUAAGCAUGAACCCCUCCUCAAAAAGAGACACUACGGACUCCCAUAGAAGAUGGGUUUAAUGGAACUGAGGUGUAAGCAGCAAGGUAACGAGCUGUUCAGCCUGCAGUUCCCAAUACGUUCGUAUCUGUACUGAU